This 494-nucleotide ribosomal RNA is filed under the name uncultured bacterium. Its description in RNAcentral is "partial 16S ribosomal RNA". It matches the Rfam family "Bacterial small subunit ribosomal RNA", at positions 28 to 507 of the family's 1533-position model. The record is from RNAcentral.
GACGAACGCUGGCGGCGUGCUUAACACAUGCAAGUCGAACGGUGAAGCGCCUUCCUUUUUGGUGGGUGUGGAUGAGUGGCGAACGGGUGAGUAACACGUGAGUAACCUGCCCCCUUCUUCUGGAUAACCGCAUGAAAGUGUGGCUAAUACGGGAUAUUCUGGGUCUGUCGCAUGAUGGGUCUGGGAAAGAUAUUGUUUCGGUGGGGGAUGGGCUCGCGGCCUAUCAGCUUGUUGGUGUGGUGAUGGCCUACCAAGGCGGUGACGGGUAGCCGGCCUGAGAGGGUGGACGGUCACACUGGGACUGAGACACGGCCCAGACUCCUACGGGAGGCAGCAGUGGGGAAUAUGGCACAAUGGGCGCAAGCCUGAUGCAGCGACGCCGCGUGAGGGAUGGAGGCCUUCGGGUUGUGAACCUCUUUCGCCAGUGAAGCAGGCCUGCCUCGUUUGUGGGUGGGUUGACGGUAGCUGGAUAAGAAGCGCCGGCUAACUACGUG